CCUACGGGUGGCUGCAGUGAGGAAUAUUGGGCAAUGGGCGCGAGCCUGAACCAGCCAAGUCGCGUGAGGGAUGAAGGUUCUAUGGAUCGUAAACCCCUUUUAUAAGGGAAUAGAGUGUGGGACGUGUCCUAUUUUGUAUGUACCUUAUGAAUAAGGAUCGGCUAACUCCGUGCCAGCAGCCGCGGUAAUACGGAGGAUGCGAGCGUUAUCCGGAUUGAUUGGGUUUAAAGGGUGCGUAGGCGGCCUUUUAAGUCAGCGGUGAAAGUCUGUGGCUCAACCAUAGAAUUGCCGUUGAUACUGGGUGGCUUGAGUAUGUUAGGGGCAGGCGGAAGGCGUGGUGUAGCGGUGAAAUGCGUAGAGAUCAGGCAGAACACCGAUUGCGAAGGCAGCC
RNAcentral lists this ribosomal RNA (391 nucleotides) under uncultured bacterium. RNAcentral's name for it is "partial 16S ribosomal RNA". It matches the Rfam family "Bacterial small subunit ribosomal RNA", at positions 338 to 726 of the family's 1533-position model. The record is from RNAcentral.